This is a long non-coding RNA of Catharus ustulatus (Swainson's thrush), 407 nucleotides long. RefSeq lists it as uncharacterized. NCBI's taxonomy places the organism in Eukaryota, Metazoa, Chordata, Aves, Passeriformes, Turdidae. The transcript is spliced from 2 exons. The record is from RefSeq and is a predicted model, not a curated record.
AGGCUGAGAGCCCUCGGGACACCUUGGCUUCUGCCGCCACAAUGCUUGGGGAGCAAAUCAGGAGAGCGGCAGCGAGAACUGAAGUUAUCUCAAAAUUCCCGGAUACAGAACAACUAUUUUCAGUUUUGAUACAGAUUCCAGAGCAGGGUACAGUAUGUCACAAAAUACACACUGGAGAAUCAAUUAUUUGUCUAUAAUAUGUAAUAUAUAAAUGUGAUGUCUAUAAUUCAUCUUAGUCGAUGCAAAUGUACUUUGGAAAAUGUAACCAGAAUUAUUUGCCACUAUAAGUAGCCAUAAAAAGACAUUGCUGUUUCACUGUACAAAGCCAGGUGUGAAAUGGAAUAAGCUAUUGCAAGGUGAGUUGGGUGAAUACUGCUUCAUAUCCUUUGAAAAUAAAUUGCAAAGCA